GGGGCUAUAGCUCAGUUGGUAGAGCGCGUCGUUCGCAAUGACGAGGUCAGGAGUUCGAUUCUCCUUAGCUCCA
This 73-nucleotide transfer RNA is filed under the name Acidimicrobiia bacterium. RNAcentral's name for it is "tRNA-Ala". It matches the Rfam family "tRNA". From Rfam's summary of the family: Transfer RNA (tRNA) molecules are approximately 80 nucleotides in length. Their secondary structure includes four short double-helical elements and three loops (D, anti-codon, and T loops). Further hydrogen bonds mediate the characteristic L-shaped molecular structure. tRNAs have two regions of fundamental functional importance: the anti-codon, which is responsible for specific mRNA codon recognition, and the 3' end, to which the tRNAs corresponding amino acid is attached (by aminoacyl-tRNA synthetases). tRNAs cope with the degeneracy of the genetic code in two manners: having more than one tRNA (with a specific anti-codon) for a particular amino acid; and 'wobble' base-pairing, i.e. permitting non-standard base-pairing at the 3rd anti-codon position. The record is from RNAcentral. Lineage: Bacteria; Bacillati; Actinomycetota; Acidimicrobiia. RNAcentral also lists the same sequence under 2 other names.